UAUUUGUCAAUAGGCGCGAGCCUGAACCAGCCAAGUAGCGUGAAGGAUGACGGCCCUAUGCUUUGUAAACUUCUUUUAUAUGGGAAUAUAGUUUUGUAUGCAUAACAUUUUGUAUGUACCAUAUGAAUAAGGAUCGGCUAACUCCGUGCCAGCAGCCGCGGUAAUACGGAGGAUCCGAGCGUUAUCCGGAUUUAUUGGGUUUAAAGGGAGCGUAGGUGGAUUGUUAAGUCAGUUGUGAAAGUUUGCGGCUCAACCGUAAAAUUGCAGUUGAUACUGGCUGUCUUGAGUACAGUAGAGGUGGGCGGAAUUCGUGGUGUAGCGGUGAAAUGCUUAGAUAUCACGAAGAACUCCGAUUGCGAAGGCAGCUCACUGGACUGCAACUGACACUGAUGCUCGAAAGUGUGGGUAUCAAA
RNAcentral lists this ribosomal RNA (413 nucleotides) under uncultured bacterium. RNAcentral describes it as "bacterial SSU rRNA". It matches the Rfam family "Bacterial small subunit ribosomal RNA", at positions 362 to 772 of the family's 1533-position model. The record is from RNAcentral.